GGGGUCGUGGGGUAGCCUGGUCUAUCCUGCGAGCUUUGGGAGCUCGUGACCCGAGUUCAAAUCUCGGCGACCCCACCA
Molecule: transfer RNA, 78 nt
Filed under: Hadarchaeum yellowstonense (SeqCode)
Lineage: Archaea; Methanobacteriati; Hadarchaeota (SeqCode); Hadarchaeia (SeqCode); Hadarchaeales (SeqCode); Hadarchaeaceae (SeqCode)
Also listed under: 1 other name
Description: tRNA-Pro
Rfam family: tRNA
About the family: Transfer RNA (tRNA) molecules are approximately 80 nucleotides in length. Their secondary structure includes four short double-helical elements and three loops (D, anti-codon, and T loops).
Source: RNAcentral